GGGUUGUGAGGUUAAGCGACUAAGCGUACACGGUGGAUGCCCUGGCAGUCAGAGGCGAUGAAGGACGUGCUAAUCUGCGAUAAGCGUCGGUAAGGUGAUAUGAACCGUUAUAACCGGCGAUUUCCGAAUGGGGAAACCCAGUGUGAUUCGUCACACUAUCAUUAACUGAAUCCAUAGGUUAAUGAGGCGAACCGGGGGAACUGAAACAUCUAAGUACCCCGAGGAAAAGAAAUCAACCGAGAUUCCCCCAGUAGCGGCGAGCGGACGGGGAGCAGCCCAGAGCCUGAAUCAGUGUGUGUGUUAGUGGAAGCGUCUGGAAAGGCGUGCGAUACAGGGUGACAGCCCCGUACACAAAAAUGCACAUAUUGUGAGCUUGAUGAGUAGGGCGGGACACGUGGUAUCCUGUCUGAAUAUGGGGGGACCAUCCUCCAAGGCUAAAUACUCCUGACUGACCGAUAGUGAACCAGUACCGUGAGGGAAAGGCGAAAAGAACCCCGGCGAGGGGAGUGAAAAAGAACCUGAAACCGUGUACGUACAAGCAGUGGGAGCACGCUUAGGCGUGUGACUGCGUACCUUUUGUAUAAUGGGUCAGCGACUUAUAUUCUGUAGCAAGGUUAACCGAAUAGGGGAGCCGAAGGGAAACCGAGUCUUAACUGGGCGUUAAGUUGCAGGGUAUAGACCCGAAACCCGGUGAUCUAGCCAUGGGCAGGUUGAAGGUUGGGUAACACUAACUGGAGGACCGAACCGACUAAUGUUGAAAAAUUAGCGGAUGACUUGUGGCUGGGGGUGAAAGGCCAAUCAAACCGGGAGAUAGCUGGUUCUCCCCGAAAGCUAUUUAGGUAGCGCCUCGUGAAUUCAUCUCCGGGGGUAGAGCACUGUUUCGGCAAGGGGGUCAUCCCGACUUACCAACCCGAUGCAAACUGCGAAUACCGGAGAA
RNAcentral lists this ribosomal RNA (937 nucleotides) under Shigella sonnei. Its description in RNAcentral is "partial 23S ribosomal RNA". It matches the Rfam family "Bacterial large subunit ribosomal RNA", at positions 1 to 970 of the family's 2925-position model. Lineage: Bacteria; Pseudomonadati; Pseudomonadota; Gammaproteobacteria; Enterobacterales; Enterobacteriaceae. The record is from RNAcentral.